Drosophila eugracilis is the source of this 209-nucleotide long non-coding RNA. RefSeq lists it as uncharacterized. The record is from RefSeq and is a predicted model, not a curated record. The transcript is spliced from 2 exons. NCBI's taxonomy places the organism in Eukaryota, Metazoa, Arthropoda, Insecta, Diptera, Drosophilidae.
AACGGCGACCACAUCAACUGUUUCACAAUGCGGAAUCCCCAUACAAAGUAUAGUAUAUUAAUAAACACUCGUAAUAUGCAGUCUUCUGUUUUGUUUUCGUUCUUGUUCUGUGGAUUGGGCCCUCGUUCAAAACUGAAAUCGGGUCAAACUUAAAGACAAAUAACGACGGCACACAAAAAAAUUAAGAAAAUAAACAAGACCGAAGAGCA